AACCCGACUACACGAAGCUGGAAUCGCUAGUAAUCGCGGAUCAGAAUGCCGCGGUGAAUACGUUCCCGGGCCUUGUACACACCGCCCGUCACACCAUGAGAGUUGGGAAUACCCGAAGCCUGUGAGCUAACAUUUAUGAGGCAGCAGUCGAAGGUAGAAUCAAUGAUUGGGGUGAAGUCGUAACAAGGUACC
This 192-nucleotide ribosomal RNA is filed under the name uncultured bacterium. RNAcentral describes it as "partial 16S ribosomal RNA". It matches the Rfam family "Bacterial small subunit ribosomal RNA", at positions 1309 to 1500 of the family's 1533-position model. The record is from RNAcentral.